AAGUCGUAACAAGGUUUCCGUAGGUGAACCUGCGGAAGGAUCAUUACACAUCAUCCAGUGUGGUCGCGGCCUCCGGGUUCUUCCCGGGCGGUAGGAGGUAACACUCUUCACGCGCCACGCGUUUGAAUCCUUUUUUUACGAGCACCUUUCGUUCUCCUUCGGUGGGGCAACCUGCCGCUGGAAUCAUACAAAACCUUUUUUGCAUCUAGCAUUACCUGUUCCGAUAACAAACAAUCGUUACAACUUUCAACAAUGGAUCUCUUGGCUCUG
This 270-nucleotide unclassified non-coding RNA is filed under the name Paraconiothyrium brasiliense. RNAcentral's name for it is "partial internal transcribed spacer region". The stretch from base 1 to 46 matches the Rfam family "Eukaryotic small subunit ribosomal RNA", at positions 1786 to 1831 of the family's 1831-position model. Lineage: Eukaryota; Fungi; Ascomycota; Dothideomycetes; Pleosporales; Didymosphaeriaceae. The record is from RNAcentral.